GAUGAACGCUGGCGGCGUGCCUAAUACAUGCCAGUCGAGCGAACAGACGAGGAGCUUGCUCCUCUGACGUUAGCGGCGGACGGUUGAGUAACACGUGGAUAACCUACCUAUAAGACUGGGAUAACUUCGGGAAACCGGAGCUAAUACCGGAUAAUAUAUUGAACCGCAUGGUUCAAUAGUGAAAGACGGUUUUGCUGUCACUUAUAGAUGGAUCCGCGCCGCAUUAGCUAGUUGGUAAGGUAACGGCUUACCAAGGCAACGAUGCGUAGCCGACCUGAGAGGGUGAUCGGCCACACUGGAACUGAGACACGGUCCAGACUCCUACGGGAGGCAGCAGUAGGGAAUCUUCCGCAAUGGGCGAAAGCUUGACGGAGCAACGCCGCGUGAGUGAUGAAGGUCUUCGGAUCGUAAAACUCUGUUAUUAGGGAAGAACAAAUGUGUAAGUAACUAUGCACGUCUUGACGGUACCUAAUCAGAAAGCCACGGCUAACUACGUG
RNAcentral lists this ribosomal RNA (497 nucleotides) under uncultured bacterium. Its description in RNAcentral is "partial 16S ribosomal RNA". It matches the Rfam family "Bacterial small subunit ribosomal RNA", at positions 28 to 507 of the family's 1533-position model. The record is from RNAcentral.